ACCAAUAAAUAUAAAAAAAUAUAUGUAAUUUUAAUGAAAAAGUACUCUUUAUAAAAAUACAUUAAACCGAUUACACUCUGAAUAAAUACUACCACUACAUUAUAUAAUAACCCGAAACAAACACUCCUAAUUGAAUAGAUCGGCCACUGAUACCUCACUCUCAUCAGUGUUGAUUAGGACAGAAGGUGACCAGAUAAUUUCCACGAGUGCAGGUCGCAAUGCUAGUAGGAUCAUCGUAAGCAUACGAGUAGGCCUUCGGACAAGCUGCCUUGAAGAUCCUCGAAUAAGCAGUUGGCUUGCAAGCUUGGGGCGUUCCAUAGCUACCAGUACAGCAAUACCUCGGGGAAUUGAAAGCAGAGCAAGCACUCUUACAAGCCACGACCCUGUUGUUGUCUUUUGACCUGACUUGUAACCCUACAGGACACAUCAUGUUCAAGUCACGAACACACCCUGCAUAGCUGCAUUUGCCUGAGCCUUUAAAUGGAGUUAUUGAGAUUGCAAGAUUGUAGCCAUCUACAAGGCUAACAUCAUAGAAAUCCUGGUCAUUUCCCAGGGUGAUUUCUGCUAGCGUGGCAGGUGGGGUGCCUCCGAUCCCAUUGCAAAAGAGGGAGCCACCACAGUCUCCAGUAGCACAGCGGCCGCGCCCGGAGGCGUCAAAGGAGCAGCCAUGGCGACCCCAGAAACGGCCGGACCAGAGUGGCGGGAGGUUGAGGGUGUAGGCCUUGUUGGGUGGGAGCUUGAACCCUCCACGGGCUAACAAGGGCCUUCCUGCACUUGGUUGGACGCCUGGCCACACUGGAUGGGUGCACUUGUUGUGAAGUGUUAUUGUUGUUGAUG
Molecule: long non-coding RNA, 837 nt
Filed under: Populus tremula
Lineage: Eukaryota; Viridiplantae; Streptophyta; Magnoliopsida; Malpighiales; Salicaceae
Description: long non-coding RNA (PTRE_LNC001101)
Source: RNAcentral